UCCAGGUACGUAAGCACACAUGAAGAAAACAACCACUGACAAGACCUCACUGGGAUUUGACUUGGCAUACGGACCUGGGACUUCCAGUCUGUCGAACUAUGAGGAAAUCAACAUUGAUUAACCAAGGCAUGGAUCAGAAAUCUUGGUGGGAAAAGUCAGCAUCUCGACAAGACAGCAGCAACAGGUCUGAUUGCAUGCCGCCAUGCUUCCUGCCAUGACAAUAAGAAACCAAACCUCUGAAACUGUAAGCCAGCCCACUUAAAUGUUUUUCUUCAUAAGAGUUGCUAUAGUCAUGGUGUAUCUUUACAAUAGAAAGCCCAACUAAGACAGAAGUGGUAUUUGGAGCUCAAGGGAGAGCUAGCCAAGUUGAAAUGAUGAGCUCUAAAAUCACAGAGAGACCAUGUCACGCACACAUAGGAAUUGGUGAAGAGUAACUGAGUAAGAUCUACAGAUGUAGUCUGCACACCAUACACACACACACA
Mus musculus (house mouse) is the source of this 482-nucleotide long non-coding RNA. RefSeq annotates it as predicted gene, 53281. The record is from RefSeq and is a predicted model, not a curated record. NCBI's taxonomy places the organism in Eukaryota, Metazoa, Chordata, Mammalia, Rodentia, Muridae. The transcript has 3 exons.